RNAcentral lists this ribosomal RNA (460 nucleotides) under uncultured bacterium. RNAcentral's name for it is "partial 16S ribosomal RNA". It matches the Rfam family "Bacterial small subunit ribosomal RNA", at positions 338 to 795 of the family's 1533-position model. The record is from RNAcentral.
CCUACGGGGGGCUGCAGUGAGGAAUAUUGGUCAAUGGGCGGAAGCCUGAACCAGCCAAGUAGCGUGCAGGAUGACGGCCCUACGGGUUGUAAACUGCUUUUAUACGGGAAUAACGCGCCUUACGUGUAGGGCUUUGCAUGUACCGUAUGAAUAAGGACCGGCUAAUUCCGUGCCAGCAGCCGCGGUAAUACGGAAGGUCCGGGCGUUAACCGGAUUUAUUUGGUUUAAGGGGAGCGUAGGCCGCAUGUCAAGCGUGCUGUGAAAUUGACGGGCUCAACCCGGGCCUUGCAGCGGGAACGGGCGUGCUUGAGUCCGCGGAAAGCAGGCGGAAUUCGUGGUGUAGCGGUGAAAUGCUUAGAUAUGACGAAGAACCCCGAUUGCGAAGGCAGCUUGCUGCAGCGGAACUGACGCUGAUGCUCGAAAGCGCGGGUAUCGAACAGGAUUAGAUACCCGAGUAGUC